This 335-nucleotide ribosomal RNA is filed under the name Cyclodius paumotensis. Its description in RNAcentral is "partial 12S ribosomal RNA". The record is from RNAcentral. Lineage: Eukaryota; Metazoa; Arthropoda; Malacostraca; Decapoda; Xanthidae.
CUUAGAUUAUUAAUAGAUAUAGUCUUUAAAUUCGAAGAAUUUGGCGGUGAUUUAGUCUCGUUAGAGGAACCUGUUAUUGGAUCGAUAAACCACGCAGGAUUUUACUUGUUUUAUUAGUUUGUAUACCGUCAUUAUCAGGUAAUUUUUAAAAAAUGAAUUGCUAAAUUUUUAAUGUAAAGAAAGUUAAAUUAGAUCAAGGUGCAGCUUAUAAAUGAGUUAUAAUGGGUUACAAUAAAGCUUAUUUAUAUGGAGUAAUAAUAGGAAGCUAUUUUAUGAAGGCGGAUUUAAUUGUAAUGAAAGUUUAAUAAGCUUUUAAGAUAUAAGCCCUAGAUCAU